This 626-nucleotide long non-coding RNA is filed under the name Helianthus annuus (common sunflower). The record is from RNAcentral. Lineage: Eukaryota; Viridiplantae; Streptophyta; Magnoliopsida; Asterales; Asteraceae.
GUUUGUUUCCUCAUCACAUCACGCGAAUGUUGAUGGCAAACCCUAAAGACGUCGCCACAUCCUCUGCUCCACCGGACUCCGGUGACCUCACCGGACACCCCAUCCGGCCUGUGCUCCGGCCAAGACCAAAGGCUCCAUAUGCUUGAAUGAUUGAGUAAUUAUCUAAAAGAAGAUUCACAUUCAUGGAUUUGUUGGCGUUCAUUACCUCCCGUUGUACAAAACGUUUCAUACUGCAAUCCUUCAUCAAAGAGACAAAGAAAAAUAGGGUCAUGCUUUUGUUGCAAACUUCACGCAUGACUAAAUUGUGCCCCCUUUUCGUAUGUCGAAGGAACAAUGUCUGGAGUUGACGCUGCGAUCGAAGCUUGCUGCUGCACAAGCUGCAAAAAAUGUGACAACUUUUCUGAGGCGGAAUUCGAGCUUAAAAACAUAGCUGAAAAAAUGGUUCCCAGUUUCAAGUGGUCAGAAGUAUAUAGUUCUUGUGCUUAGAUUUGUCAUAUGGAUCUAAAGAACUGUAUGCCACUAGAUGAGGCUCAAAGAGUUAGACGUGAACAACCUGGAUCAUUGCAGACUGUACGAUUAAUUUUGUUAAUAGAUCAACGGUCAAGAUUGGAAAUAUAUCAUCAUCA